This is a long non-coding RNA of Populus nigra (black poplar), 2015 nucleotides long. RefSeq lists it as uncharacterized. The transcript has 5 exons. NCBI's taxonomy places the organism in Eukaryota, Viridiplantae, Streptophyta, Magnoliopsida, Malpighiales, Salicaceae. The record is from RefSeq and is a predicted model, not a curated record.
UCUGUAAUUAAGGCUUGUACUGGUUUGAAUAAUGUUAGAUUAGGGAAGGGAUAUGCUUGUUGGUAGUUCUUUGCUGAAGGGUGUUUGUUUGAUGAAGUGAUCGAUAAAGAUUGUGUUUUGUGCAAUGUGGAACUUGCUGAAGUGGCUUCAAGAUAUCUCCUUGACUUGGACCCAAAAAUCUCUGGUUACUAUUUAUUGCUUUCACAUGUACUUGCCGACUCUGAACAAUGGAGGAGUGUGUGCGUCGGAUACGACGUUUGACGAAAGAUAGAGGAGUCCACAAAGUUCCUGGAUGCAGUUGGAUUUGUGGUCAUCAACACCUGUCAUAUGUUUUAUGCUGCAGAUGAAAGUCACCCACAGAUCUAUUCCUCACUGAAGAGUCUGCUCCUAGAACUAAGAAAAGAAGGUUAUGUUCCUCAAGCGCUGUACGAACAGCUUCUUUGGAAAUGACUGAAUCUGGAGAAUCAGACAUGCAUGGCACAAGCAAUUUUAAGACAAACGCAGUCAAAGGGGAAAUCAAACAGGAACAGGAUGAAAGAUAUUCGUGGCUCGAGCAUCUUCUUUGUUUGAUCUUAUAUCGAUCCAAAUGAGGAUCGCUUCCUUCUGGGACACAGUUCCACUAAUUUCUCGAAAUAGCUGGUAUGAAAUGAAGAUGGACAUGACAUGUAUCCAACAACUCCUGCACUCACGAUCAAGUUAUGAUGAAAAAUUAUGUUGCUGAGGAAACCUCAUCUGGUUUGCGGUUCCCUGCUUAUUCAUUGCCAUAUUUUUUUCAAUAUUAGAGCUCAUUAAUUACUUGAUCAGCAGCUGGUGAUAACUCCUUUGAUCUAAACCGGACAAGUCCCAGGUUACCAAGAUCUAGCCAAAGCAAUUGGCAGUUCACAGCUCUGGUGGACACUAUGCAAGGUUUGACAUCCUACUUGAAUUUUGAACUGGGGUUAGGGAGAUCAAUAGCAUAAAUAUUAGAGGUCUGCUGUUAUGUACAGAAUUUUUUAUAGUUAAUUUCAAUGUCAUUGCUUUGGCUUGCAACUUAUAGAAGACUACACUUGGAGAGAACUGUGUUAGUAGAUAAAAAUGUUGUUGUCUGCAACACCAUGACAUCAAGAACUAGAAGGGAAAAGUAAAGCAACAAAAAGACCUCAAUAAUCAACAAAACUACUCGCAAGAAAUUCCCUAUUCCUGUAUUUUUUUUUUGAUAAGUUUUCAUGAUCUUCUGUAGCCAAAAAAAAAAAAAUUUGUAGACUGUCAAAGCUAAUUAGCAAGGACCAUGAAUCAGACACCCAGGUGUGGUUUAUAAUCUAUAGUCUGAUUACCAUCUUGGUUCAUUGCCAUUCUGGAUUGGAACUUGUGGAUUGUUUGUGCUUGAUAUAUUCAUUGACAAAGAUGCAUGAUGUCUCUGAAAAUUCUUUUUAUGUCUGAUGAGCAGCGGUACUCCAUAGUUGAUGCAAAGGCAUUGGCCGAUCAACAAUUCCCUUUAUUGCUAUACGAUACGAAGUUGCAAUCAAGGAUAAGUAUUGUUAUUUUAAUCCCACCAUGCUUUGCUGCUUAAAGCGAGGACCAGACCCAUUUUCUCCGAUUAGACUAAGAACGCGGCCCCAUCUUGCAUGACCCUAAUCUCCAUAUCUUACCAGCAUAAUUCCACCUUUCUAUCUUAAUCUUAUUCUGAUUUGGAGCAUAUAUUCUUAAUGAACCAGCUGUCUGUGUAAUAGUAUUUGAGAUUGUUUCCACAGGUGGGCCACACACAUGCGCCGGCGCACACACAAUUCAGUCGAGAAAACGUUUAAUGGCUAAAGGAGCCAACCCCUUCUGCAUAGGAAUUUUCGGGAUUGAAACAAAAUUUUGAGAUGAGGACUAAUUGUGAUGGAAAUCAAGCUCUCUUUCUUGGCAGAACUGCUGUACAUUUUAAGGGACUAGGAGUUCCUGACAAUUUUUUCCCUCAUUGAAGUGGUUUUAGGGCUUGAAUUAAUCACAUUACUAAACCAAUCUUUGAAUACUAAUUUGCUUUUUUCAUGAGA